GGGGCCUUAGCUCAGCUGGUAGAGCGCCUGCUUUGCAAGCAGGAGGUCGUCGGUUCGAAACCGUCAGGCUCCA
This 73-nucleotide transfer RNA is filed under the name Solirubrobacterales bacterium. RNAcentral's name for it is "tRNA-Ala". It matches the Rfam family "tRNA". From Rfam's summary of the family: Transfer RNA (tRNA) molecules are approximately 80 nucleotides in length. Their secondary structure includes four short double-helical elements and three loops (D, anti-codon, and T loops). Further hydrogen bonds mediate the characteristic L-shaped molecular structure. tRNAs have two regions of fundamental functional importance: the anti-codon, which is responsible for specific mRNA codon recognition, and the 3' end, to which the tRNAs corresponding amino acid is attached (by aminoacyl-tRNA synthetases). tRNAs cope with the degeneracy of the genetic code in two manners: having more than one tRNA (with a specific anti-codon) for a particular amino acid; and 'wobble' base-pairing, i.e. permitting non-standard base-pairing at the 3rd anti-codon position. Lineage: Bacteria; Bacillati; Actinomycetota; Thermoleophilia; Solirubrobacterales. The record is from RNAcentral.